UCGGAGAGGGUCGGAGAGAGGUUCGGAGAGAGGUUCGGAGAGGUUCGGAGAGGAACGGAGAAGGGCGGAGGAGAGGAACGGAGAGGAAGGUCCUUUAUUCCUACUGCUGGUGACAAAACCACGGGGGUACAAACACAGCGGCACCGCGGCGACACCCCGGCCACCGGGACAGCCCCGCGGCACUGCCACGGCCACGGGAGCAGGGUCCGAAGGGGACGGCACAGAGGAGUCCGUGUGCCAGCAACCCCAAGGCCACACUGUGAGAGAUAUAAAUACAUGUCCUGUAACAGCACUGGGAUCCAGGCAGGCAGAGAGGGCGUUUGCUGGUGUUCAUUUUCCUGCUGCUGCAGAGGAAGAGGUGCUCACUCCGCCAGGCU
Molecule: long non-coding RNA, 377 nt
Organism: Prinia subflava (tawny-flanked prinia)
Lineage: Eukaryota; Metazoa; Chordata; Aves; Passeriformes; Cisticolidae
Exons: 2
Source: RefSeq, a predicted model, not a curated record